GACGAACCGAGCGAACGUUGUUCGGAAUCACUGGGCUUAAAGGGCGCGUAGGCGGGUGCUCAAGUCCGGGGUGAAAUCCCACAGCUCAACUGUGGAACUGCCUCGGAUACUGGGCGUCUCGAGGGUGGCAGGGGUAUGCGGAACUAUUGGUGGAGCGGUGAAAUGCGUUGAUAUCAAUAGGAACUCCGGUGGCGAAGGCGGCAUACUGGUCCACUUCUGACGCUGAGGCGCGAAAGCCAGGGGAGCAAACGGG
Molecule: ribosomal RNA, 253 nt
Filed under: uncultured bacterium
Lineage: Bacteria
Description: partial 16S ribosomal RNA
Rfam family: Bacterial small subunit ribosomal RNA
Source: RNAcentral